GUCAAUGUGGUGGAGUGGUUUAAGCAUUGGAUUACAACUCUGGAGACCAGGGUUCAAAUCCUGGUUUGGCCA
This is a non-coding RNA of Phrynosoma platyrhinos (Desert horned lizard), 72 nucleotides long. NCBI's taxonomy places the organism in Eukaryota, Metazoa, Chordata, Lepidosauria, Squamata, Phrynosomatidae. The record is from the annotation of a GenBank genome assembly.